Molecule: long non-coding RNA, 228 nt
Filed under: Homo sapiens (human)
Lineage: Eukaryota; Metazoa; Chordata; Mammalia; Primates; Hominidae
Description: non-protein coding lnc-C15orf41-9:1
Source: RNAcentral
AUGUCUCCUAGUGUUUUGACGAAACCUCAGGUGUAUGGCCUUCUAGCCAAGUACCUGUGGUUUCACAUUGUUGGAGCAUUUGUGGUAUUCUGGCUGGUGGCAGCUCUCUAUCAAAUUGCUGUGGCUGAACCAAGAAAGAAGGCAUACACAGAUUUCUACAGAAAUUACGAUUCCAUGAAAGAUUUUGAGGACAUGAGGAAGACUGGUACUUUUCAGAGUGCAAAGUGA